RNAcentral lists this ribosomal RNA (521 nucleotides) under uncultured bacterium. RNAcentral describes it as "bacterial SSU rRNA". It matches the Rfam family "Bacterial small subunit ribosomal RNA", at positions 997 to 1515 of the family's 1533-position model. The record is from RNAcentral.
ACUCUAGAGAUAGAGUCUUCCCCUUCGGGGGACAAAGUGACAGGUGGUGCAUGGUUGUCGUCAGCUCGUGUCGUGAGAUGUUGGGUUAAGUCCCGCAACGAGCGCAACUCUUAAGCUUAGUUGCCAGCAUUAAGUUGGGCACUCUAAGUUGACUGCCGGUGACAAACCGGAGGAAGGUGGGGAUGACGUCAAAUCAUCAUGCCCCUUAUGAUUUGGGCUACACACGUGCUACAAUGGACAAUACAAAGGGCAGCUAAACCGCGAGGUCAUGCAAAUCCCAUAAAGUUGUUCUCAGUUCGGAUUGUAGUCUGCAACUCGACUACAUGAAGCUGGAAUCGCUAGUAAUCGUAGAUCAGCAUGCUACGGUGAAUACGUUCCCGGGUCUUGUACACACCGCCCGUCACACCACGAGAGUCUGUAACACCCGAAGCCGGUGGAGUAACCAUUUAUGGAGCUAGCCGUCGAAGGUGGGACAAAUGAUUGGGGUGAAGUCGUAACAAGGUAGCCGUAUCGGAAGGUGC